This 68-nucleotide transfer RNA is filed under the name Heterotermes tenuior. RNAcentral describes it as "tRNA-Met". Lineage: Eukaryota; Metazoa; Arthropoda; Insecta; Blattodea; Rhinotermitidae. The record is from RNAcentral.
AGAAAAGUAAGCUAAGUAAAAGCUAAUGGGUUCAUACCCCAUAAAUAGAGUGAACAUUCUCUUUUCUA